ACCUUUUUUAUCCGAUGCUUACCUGCUUAGUAAUACCGUGCAAAUGCACGGUACAAAUUAGUCGGGCUUCGGUUGGAAAGAGCAGUCUUCCUCACCAUCUCUUCCUCUACAGGCGCUCUCCAGUGCUCUCCAGGUGCUCUUUCUUCCUCUCCAGGCACUCUUUCUUCCUCUCAUCCCAGACAUGGAUCAAAGAAAGAUUGUGGCAUGCUUCAUUUCUUCUUUGGAUGGUGCAAUGAAAAAAGGAGUGGAUCCAAAACCUGAGAUUGUUUCAGAAUUGUCAAAGAUGGAUUUGUCUAUUGAGGAUCAAAUCAAGGCACUAAAUAUCCUUUUUGAAAAGCCACAGAAUGAGAGGACAUUCUCGUCUUUGGAUGGUGCAAUGAAAAAAGCCUUUGUACUCAUGUUACUUGGACAAAGUAACCCCAAUUGUAUAUUUUAUGAACUUGGAUAUGUGGUUGGAUUAUAUAUCGUAACGAUUGUAGUUGUUUUUUGUGAA
Pyrus x bretschneideri (Chinese white pear) is the source of this 493-nucleotide long non-coding RNA. RefSeq lists it as uncharacterized. NCBI's taxonomy places the organism in Eukaryota, Viridiplantae, Streptophyta, Magnoliopsida, Rosales, Rosaceae. The record is from RefSeq and is a predicted model, not a curated record. The transcript has 2 exons.